CAGUUUUCCCCCAGAUCCUGCUGAUUCUACAAACUUUGAGUUCCUUAGUUGUGAAGAAAGUCUACAGUCUGCAAACUCAGUCUGUGGAAAGAAGUAUACAGCAAGCUAAGAUGUGAAGAUCAGGGAAAGCAGCUGCAGAAAGAAGUACGGUUUUUUUGCCACCAUAUAAGCUCUGAUCAACAAUAACUUGGUUUUCCUUCAUCAU
Lonchura striata (white-rumped munia) is the source of this 205-nucleotide long non-coding RNA. RefSeq lists it as uncharacterized. The record is from RefSeq and is a predicted model, not a curated record. NCBI's taxonomy places the organism in Eukaryota, Metazoa, Chordata, Aves, Passeriformes, Estrildidae.